UAGUCCGCACGAGCGCACCCUUAUCCUCAGUUACCAGCACUUCGGGUGGGCACUCUGGGGAGACUGCCGGUGACAAACCGGAGGAAGGUGGGGACGACGUCAAGUCAUCAUGGCCCUUACGGCCAGGGCUACACACGUGCUACAAUGGUGCAUACAGACGGUUGCCAAGCCGCGAGGUGGAGCUAAUCUGAGAAAGUGCAUCGUAGUCCGGAUUGGAGUCUGCAACUCGACUCCAUGAAGUCGGAAUCGCUAGUAAUCGUGAAUCAGAAUGUCACGGUGAAUACGUUCCCGGGCCUU
This 297-nucleotide ribosomal RNA is filed under the name uncultured bacterium. RNAcentral's name for it is "partial 16S ribosomal RNA". It matches the Rfam family "Bacterial small subunit ribosomal RNA", at positions 1082 to 1382 of the family's 1533-position model. The record is from RNAcentral.